UCGAAAGAGGGCUCUAGUGAUCCGGUAGUCCCGUGUGGAAGGGCUAUCGCUCAACGGAUAAAAGGUACGCCGGGGAUAACAGGCUAAUCAUUCUCUAGAGACCUUAUCGACGGAAUGGUUUGGCACCUCGAUGUUGGAUUAUCGCAUCCUGGAAUUGUAAAUGAUUCCAAGGGUUUGGCUGUUCGCCAAGGAAGGCGGUACAUGAUCUGAGUUUAGAACGUCGUGAGACAGUUUGG
This 236-nucleotide ribosomal RNA is filed under the name Licmophora paradoxa. Its description in RNAcentral is "partial Bacterial large subunit ribosomal RNA". It matches the Rfam family "Bacterial large subunit ribosomal RNA", at positions 2399 to 2634 of the family's 2925-position model. The record is from RNAcentral. Lineage: Eukaryota; Bacillariophyta; Fragilariophyceae; Licmophorales; Licmophoraceae.